CUAACCAGCAGCCAAACCAUUUGUGAGGAUGGGACGGAAAGCCAAGGAUCUCUGGGGAAAAGAGACAGCCUGGUUGCCUAG
This 81-nucleotide non-coding RNA is filed under the name Marinobacter sp. RNAcentral's name for it is "c-di-GMP sequence". It matches the Rfam family "c-di-GMP-I riboswitch aptamer". From Rfam's summary of the family: GEMM was predicted in a large-scale screen for bacterial structured RNA regulatory elements. Lineage: Bacteria; Pseudomonadati; Pseudomonadota; Gammaproteobacteria; Pseudomonadales; Marinobacteraceae. RNAcentral also lists the same sequence under 1 other name. The record is from RNAcentral.